CUUGCUUCUCUUGAGAGCGGCGGACGGGUGAGUAAUGCCUAGGAAUCUGCCUAGUGGUGGGGGAUAACGUUCGGAAACGGACGCUAAUACCGCAUACGUCCUACGGGAGAAAGCGGGGGAUCUUCGGACCUCGCGCCAUUAGAUGAGCCUAGGUCGGAUUAGCUAGUUGGUGAGGUAAUGGCUCACCAAGGCGACGAUCCGUAACUGGUCUGAGAGGAUGAUCAGUCACACUGGAACUGAGACACGGUCCAGACUCCUACGGGAGGCAGCAGUGGGGAAUAUUGGACAAUGGGCGAAAGCCUGAUCCAGCCAUGCCGCGUGUGUGAAGAAGGUCUUCGGAUUGUAAAGCACUUUAAGUUGGGAGGAAGGGUAGUAACCUAAUACGUUGCUACUUUGACGUUACCGACAGAAUAAGCACCGGCUAACUUCGUGCCAGCAGCCGCGGUAAUACGAAGGGUGCAAGCGUUAAUCGGAAUUACUGGGCGUAAAGCGCGCGUAGGUGGUUCAGUAAGUUGGAAGUGAAAUCCCCGGGCUCAACCUGGGAACUGCUUUCAAAACUGCUGAGCUAGAGUACGGUAGAGGGUGGUGGAAUUUCCUGUGUAGCGGUGAAAUGCGUAGAUAUAGGAAGGAACACCAGUGGCGAAGGCGACCACCUGGACUGAUACUGACACUGAGGUGCGAAAGCGUGGGGAGCAAACAGGAUUAGAUACCCUGGUAGUCCACGCCGUAAACGAUGUCAACUAGCCGUUGGAAUCCUUGAGAUUUUAGUGGCGCAGCUAACGCAUUAAGUUGACCGCCUG
RNAcentral lists this ribosomal RNA (800 nucleotides) under uncultured bacterium. Its description in RNAcentral is "bacterial SSU rRNA". It matches the Rfam family "Bacterial small subunit ribosomal RNA", at positions 79 to 875 of the family's 1533-position model. The record is from RNAcentral.